RNAcentral lists this unclassified non-coding RNA (300 nucleotides) under plant metagenome. RNAcentral describes it as "partial contains 5.8S ribosomal RNA, internal transcribed spacer 2, and large subunit ribosomal RNA". The stretch from base 1 to 105 matches the Rfam family "5.8S ribosomal RNA", at positions 50 to 154 of the family's 154-position model. The record is from RNAcentral.
GAAAUGCGAUAAGUAGUGUGAAUUGCAGAAUUCAGUGAAUCAUCGAAUCUUUGAACGCACAUUGCGCCCUUUGGCAUUCCGAAGGGCAUACCUGUUCGAGCGUCAGUUGCACAACUCAAGCACAGCUUGGUGAUGGGCGACGCGGUCCGCCGCGCGCCUCAAAUCGACCGGCUGGGUCUUUCGUCCCCUCAGCGUUGUGGAAACUAUUCGCUAAAGGGUGCCGCGGGAGGCCACGCCGUAAAACAACCCCAUUUCUAAGGUUGACCUCGGAUCAGGUAGGGAUACCCGCUGAACUUAAGC